AUUGAACGCUGGCGGCAGGCCUAACACAUGCAAGUCGAGCGAGCGGCGGACGGGUGAGUAAUGUCUGGGAAACUGCCUGAUGGAGGGGGGUAACUACUGGAAACGGUAGCUAAUACCGCAUACCAUCGGAUGUGCCCAGAUGGGAUUAGCUAGUUGGUGGGGUAAAGGCUACCCUAGGCGACGAGCCCUAGCUGGUCUGAGAGGAUGACCAGCCAAACUGGAACGGAGACACGGUCCAGACUCCUACGGGAGGCAGCAGUGGGGAAUAUUGCACAAUGGGCGCAAGCCUGAUGCAGCCAUGCCGCGUGUAUGAAGAAGGCCUUCGGGUUGUAAAGUACUUUCAGCGGGGAGGCGUUACCCGCAGAAGAAGCACCGGCUAACUCCGUGCCAGCAGCCGCGGUAAUAC
Molecule: ribosomal RNA, 406 nt
Filed under: uncultured bacterium
Lineage: Bacteria
Description: partial 16S ribosomal RNA
Rfam family: Bacterial small subunit ribosomal RNA
Source: RNAcentral